UACGGAGGGUGCAAGCGUUAUCCGGAUUCACUGGGUUUAAAGGGUGCGUAGGUGGGUUUGUAAGUCAGUGGUGAAAUCUCCAAGCUUAACUUGGAACUGCCGUUGAUACUAUAAAUCUUGAAUGUUGUGGAGGUGAGCGGAAUAUGUCAUGUAGCGGUGAAAUGCUUAGAUGAUGAACAUAGAACACCAAUUGCGAAGGCAGC
RNAcentral lists this ribosomal RNA (203 nucleotides) under uncultured bacterium. RNAcentral describes it as "partial 16S ribosomal RNA". It matches the Rfam family "Bacterial small subunit ribosomal RNA", at positions 524 to 725 of the family's 1533-position model. The record is from RNAcentral.